Molecule: ribosomal RNA, 253 nt
Filed under: uncultured prokaryote
Description: partial 16S ribosomal RNA
Rfam family: Bacterial small subunit ribosomal RNA
Source: RNAcentral
ACAGAGGCCUCGAGCGUUAGGCGGAAUCACUGGGCUUAAAGCGUGUGUAGGCGGGCCCGUCAGUGUCUUGUGAAAUCCCACGGCUCAACCGUGGAACUGCUUGGUAUACUGCUUAUCUUGGGCCAUCUAGGGGCUACCGGAACAAGUGGUGGAGCGGUGAAAUGCGUAGAUAUCACUUGGAACGCCAAUGGUGAAAACAGGUAGCUGGGGAUGUGCUGACGCUGAGACACGAAAGCCAGGGGAGCAAACGGGA